This 3548-nucleotide unclassified non-coding RNA is filed under the name Hevea brasiliensis (rubber tree). Lineage: Eukaryota; Viridiplantae; Streptophyta; Magnoliopsida; Malpighiales; Euphorbiaceae. The record is from RNAcentral.
UUCCAUCAAAGUAAUAAUCUCCCAUUUAUUGAAUGAAUUAGAUUGAUUCUAUAAUUGAUUGCAGUGUGAAUCCCUAGCUCUAGAAUGUUUUUAUUAAUUAAUAUUCAAGUUUUGUUAAUUAUUUUAUAUUUUAUUUCUUUUAAUUUAGAUUUAAUCACUAGUUCUAUACAAUUUGAUCAUCUAGAUAAUUAAAGUCACUAUAGUUUAGUACUCAACACGGUCUUCUUGGGAACGAUACUCUACUCACUACUAUAUUACUUGUUCGCGAUCUGUACACUUGCGGUGAUUGCAAACCAGCAAACAAAUUAUAGGCUAAAUCACUUAUUUACAUCCCCACUCAAAUUGAUGCACAUUGUCAACUAGCAUCAAUUUGCCAACUAAGUAAUCAUGGCGGGCAUGUGUCAUCGAUUUUGUGAAGAGAUUAGCGACUUGAUCUUGAAAAGGAACAUGAAGAAGGUGGAGAGUUUGAUCUUGCACAAGUUCACGAAUAUAAUGACAAUCUACCUCAAUAUGCUUACUACGUUCAUGAUCCACUGGAUUCGUAGCUAUUCUGAUAGCACUUAUAUUAUCAGCAUAGAGAGAAGUUGGUUGAUCAGAUGAAACUCCAAAAUCCAAGAGUAGUGGAUGGAGCCAAACUACUUCUAAGCUGACAUAUGACAUGAAGCGAUAUUCAACUUCAGUAGAUGACUUUGCAACUCUAUCUUGUUUUUUGCAUUUCCAAGAAAUGGGGACUAAAUCUAAGAAAACACACCAGUCAGUAGUUGAUCGUCAUGUGUCGAGACAACCUGCAUAAUCUGCACCUGCAAAAGCCACAAGUUGUAAUGAGUAAUUUGAAGGAAAGAAUAAGCCUUGCCUCAUUGUUCCUUUUAGGUAGCGGAUAAUACGAUGAACAGCGGUUAAAUGUAAUCUUCGAUGGAUCAGACAUAAAUUGGCUCACCACUUAGGCAACAUAUGAGAUGUCAGGUCUAGUGGUAGUAAGAUAGAUAAGACUACCAACAAGCCUUCUAUAGAGAGUAGGAUCAGAUAUGGGUUCCCCAUCAUCUCUUUUUAAUUUGAGAUUGGGUUCCAUAGGUGUAGAACAAGUUUGAUCAUCAGUAAGAUUGGCUAAUUUGAUCAAAUCUGUUGUAUAUUUAUGUUGGUUGACAAAGAGACCAGCAGGGGAGUGAGAAACUUCCAAACCUAAAAAAUAAGUCACUUGUCCAAGAUCUUUCAUAUGAAAUGAGGACUGAAGAAAUUGCUUGAAUUUAUGAAUUCCCUCCCUGUCACUUCCUGUUAUAAGCAUAUCAUCCAUAUAAACCAAUAGAACAAUAAUUCCUUUGGAAGAAUGACAAGUGACUAAUGAAGGAUCAUUAGAACUUUGCUGAAAGUUGGCCAUUUUAAUGGUAGAAGAAAAUUUCUCAAACCAUGUACGAGGGGCUUGUGUGAGACCGUAAAGAGAUUUUCGAAGUUUACAUACCAUAUCUGGAUUUGAAAGAGAGUACCCAGGUGGAGGCUUCAUAUAAAUAGUUUCUUUCAAGUCCCCAUGAAGAAACGCGUUUUUAACAUCCACUUGAUGUAAUGGCCAUUGUUUUCCAGAAGCAACAGCAAAAAGAGUACGGGCCGUGGUCAUUUUGGCUACUGGAGAAAAUGCCUCCUCAUAAUCAAUUCCAUACUCUUGUUUAUACCCCUGAGCCAUCAACCUUGCUUUAUAUCUGUCAAGAGAACCAUCAAGCUUAAGUUUAACAGUGUAUAUCCAUUUAUUACCAAUCAAUAAAGCAUUCGUUGGGAUAGGACCUAAGUUCCAAGUAUGAUUAGUUCAAGAGCCAAAAGUUCUUCUUCCAUUGCAUGUCUCUAACAAGCAUGCUCUACUGCUUGCUUAUAGGUAGAAGGUAUAGGAAUAGAUUCAAGGGUGCUAAAAAAAGAAGUGGAAGGAUCAUACCGCUGUGGAGAGUAACCAUAUCGAUUUUGGAGGAUGGCCAAGCUUGAGACGAAGUGACCGUCGUGGUGGUGGAGUUGAUGGUGACUGUGUUGGUGAGGUUGGAGUGGAUUCAAGAGUAAUUAAAGGACCCUUAGAAUUGCGAUCAGGUUGAGGUAUAAUAGGUUGAGUCACCGUUGAACCUGGAUCAACUUCUAAUGAAGAGGUUAGAGAAUCAUUAGCAAAAAAAGGUAAGAAAGAGAUAGGCUCAUUAGUGUUUGGGUGAUAAGAAGCAUAAGAUGAAGGAAAAAAGAUUGAAUUUUCAAAAAAAGUGACAUGACAGGAGAUGGGUAUCCUUUUUACGUCACAAUCAUAGCAUAUAUAUCCUUUAUGUUUAUCACUAUAACCAAGAAACACGCAUUUGGCAGCUUUGGGGGAUAAUUUGGUACAUUCAUGAGGGGGUAAUAAAACAAAACACAUCCAAAAACACGAAGUGAAGAAUAAUCAAGGAAUUUUUUAUAUAAACAAAACCAAGGUGAUUUGUUAUCAAGCAUUGGAGUUGGCUGUCUAUUGAUGAGAUGUAUAUACUGCUGUAUGGACAACUUCAACCUAGAAUUUUGGUGGUACAUAAGAUUCAAGUAAAAGGGUAUGGGCAAGUUCAAUAACACGGUGAUUUUUUCUUUCCACCACACCAUUUUGUUCAGAUGUUUGUGGACAUGAUUGCUAUGGUAUGGUUCCCUUUUCUUGAAAGAAAGUAUUAAGCGGUGAAGAACAAAAUUCUCCACCAGGAUCAGAUCUAAAUUUGUUAAUAAUCUUUCCAAAUUGUGUCUCAAUCAUAGUAAAAAAAGAUUUUGCAACAUUAGUCAGAUCAGAUUAUGCACGCAAAAAGUAUACCCAAGUGUACCUUGUAUGAUGGUCAAUGAAAAGAACAAAGUAUCUAUAGCCCAAUCGAGAUAAAAUUGGAGAUGGACCCCAUAAAUUAGCAUGUAUUAACUCAAAUGAUUCCUCUACUUUAGAAGUACUAUGAGAAAAAGGGAGUUUUGUAGCUUUAACAAUAGAACAACUUUCACACUUCAAAGAAAGUAAAUCAACGGGAAUGCUUAAUUUUUUCAGGAAGAAAACUGGAAUUACACGAGUUUGAGCCUAUUGUCAUGAGGGUGUCCAAAGCGUCGAUGCCAAAGACACCAUUUUUUAUUAGCUAAUGAAAAUUUGGAAGCUAAAGAAACAGAAUGACAAAAUGGAACAGAAUACUUUUUGGCGCAAUGAGAUGUAGAAGGGAUAUCCAGGUCCAACGGGAAAUUGCCCUUGCUUAUGACCCUUCCUGAUCAGUUUCCCAGUUUGCAGGUCCUAAUAAACCAGCAGCGGAGAAAGCAGAGGAUAUAGCACCUAGAAGAGCUGAUUGUAAAGUAGAUUGAAUCAUUUGUUGUAUAGCAUCUUGAGUGAGAUUGAUACUAGUGGUAUUGGGCACUUCUUGCUCUGCAGGUCCAUUUGAAGUGAAUAAGGCAGCUUGGUUGUGUUUGUUCCUUUGCAGGAGACGACACUCAAGUAUCACAUGUCCCUUCUUCUUACAGUAAUUGCAUACAUUCGUCUUCUUGCAAUGAGACUGUAUAUGCCACAUUUCUCCACAAAAUCUGGUUUAAGCUCUUGGAGUGAU